CUACACAUCUCUGCUCUGUCCAGAUGUGGAGUCAAUGACACACGCUGACCUGUAGAGAGCAGCAAACACUAAGAUAGUUUAUACCCAAAUCAUUACUUUAUUUAACCUUUAUAUAACUAGGUAAGUCAGUUAAGAACAAAUUCUUAUUUACAAUGAGGGCCUACCGGGGAACAGUGGGUUAACUGCCUUGUUCAGGGGGCAGAACGACAGAUUUGUUCCUUGUCACCACGGGGGAUUCGAUCUAGCAACCUUUUGGUUACUAGUCCAACGCUCGUCCAACCACUGAGCUACGCUGCCACCCCCUAUCCUAAUGGAUUGUGUUGCUGUAGUGCUGUGCCUCUGAUACCCGGCAAACAACAGCCCUGCUGUCACACACAGGGAGCACCCACUCACACUGGGGGCACCCACUCACACAGGGAGCACCCACUCACACAGGGAGCACCCACUCGCACUGGGAGCACCCACUCGCACUGGGAGCACCCACUCGCACAGGGAGCACCCACUCGCACAGGGAGCACCCACUCGCACAGGGAGCACCCACUCGCACAGGGAGCACCCACUCGCACAGGGAGCACCCACUCACUGGGAGCACCCACUCACACUGGGAGCACCCACUCACACACACAUGGAUGUAUGCAUGCUUUACACAAGACCAUCUAAAAGUACAGACAUUUUAAUGAAAAGUAUGUAGCCAUUUUUGGUGGCAGCUAAUUUAUUGGCAUGUAAAUUCAAAACUAUUCGUUUGUCAAUACAACUGAAAUGAAGGGAAGUUUGUGUGUUUGUUAUGACUCCUUUCCCCUGUCUAGCUUUACUGCGGUGUCCCCUGUCUAGCCUUACUGCGGUGUCCCCUGUCUAGCUUUACUGCGGUGUCCAGCUUUACUGCGGUGUCCCCUGUCUAGCUUUACUGCGGUGUCCCCUGUCUAGCUUUACUGCGGUGUCCAGCUUUACUGCGGUGUCCCCUGUCUAGCAUUACUGCGGUGUCCCCUGUCUAGCCUUACUGCGGUGUCCAGCUUUACUGCGGUGUCCCCUGUCUAGCUUUACUGCGGUGUCCCCUGUCUAGCUUUACUGCGGUGUCCAGCUUUACUGCGGUGUCCCCUGUCUAGCCUUACUGCGGUGUCCAGCUUUACUGCGGUGUCCCCUGUCUAGCUUUACUGCGGUGUCCCCUGUCUAGCUUUACUGCGGUGUCCAGCUUUACUGCGGUGUCCCCUGUCUAGCUUUACUGCGGUGUCCCCUGUCUAGCUUUGCUGCGGUGUCCCCUGUCUAGCAUUACUGCAGUGUCCCCUGUCCAGCCUUGCUGCGGUGUCCCCUGUCCAGCUUUACUGCGGUGUCCCCUGUCUAGCUUUACUGCGGUGUCCAGCUUUACUGCAGUGUCCCCGUCUAUCUUUACUGCGGUGUCCCCAUCCAGCUUUACUGCGGUGUCCCCUGUCUAGCUUUACUGCGGUGUCCAGCUUUACUGCGGUGUCCCCUGUCUAGCAUUACUGCGGUGUCCCCUGUCUAGCUUUACUGCGGUGUCCAGCUUUACUGCGGUGUCCCCUGUCUAGCAUUACUGCGGUGUCCCUGUCUAGCUUUACUGCGGUUGUACCAUGUACUGUAUAGACCACUCUGUAAAAUAACUGACAACUUCACAGCAGUGAGCGGUGUCUUUGGCUCAGAGCGCUGUGUGUGUGUGUGUGUGUGUGUGUGUGUGUGUGUGUGUGUGUGUGUGUGUGUGUGUGUGUGUGUGUGUGUGUGUGUGUGUGUGAGAGAGAGCUGGGUUGCCUAUCUACUGGGACAACACACACACACCUCACUUUUUUUUCUUCUCUUAUCUUUUCCAUCCCUCGCCGUUGCCUUCUGCUGUCGCCGUGACGCAUGCACCCUAACGACCAUGGCUGUAGACUGUUACCAUGUUACCGUCUCUACAGUAACAAUCUAAAGCCACGGUCGCCAUGGAGACAGCAGGGAGAAGGAGGAGUGGGAGUUGGCAUGGUAACUGGAGAUGGCGAUGUCCGAUUGGCUCUUGGGUGGAUACGACGUGCGCACAUCAGCAUAGAAAUCCCCCAAUACUGGCCCAUGCAGUCAGGCUGGCUCACACACAGGGGCACGAGAAAGAGAGAGAGGAGAAGAGAGCGUUGUGGAGUUUUUGUGGAGUCCUCUGGAAAGUUGCGACGAGGACAUUCCUAGAGACUUACCAAGACAUGCCAUAUCUUAAUUUGCCCAGUUUCACACAGCAUGAAAAUAAUCCUGCAGCAACAGGAAAUGUGAAUUGUUAUGUGGAUUAUAAUUCAUGGAUUUUUUUGUUGUUGUAGGGGUUGAUACACUCUUUUUGUUGGACAAAUCAAGUCUGACGUUUUCAAAUACACUACACAUUUACAUUUCCUGUUGUGAAGGAAAAUUCCUGCAACAACAGGAUGAUCAAAUUAAGACGACAUCUGUACAAUACCAUUGUCAGGGUGUUAGUUAACCUAAACUAUAGUUUCCAUAGCCGCACUUCCAGGGCGAUGUCUCCAGGACAGGUAGUGUUGCCACGGCGAGUUGCCAGGCAUCAGUAGCCAUGACUGUAGACUGUUACUGUAACUGUGAGACUUUUUUUUAAAGCAGUAAGCAGUCUAAAGCCAAGGUGCUGAUGCUCUGGCAGUCAGGGGGUCGUAACCACGGUAACCAGGAGAAGGAGGGAGAGAACAGGUCGGAUAGCCUACAUACCACUGCACCUGCAAUGAAAAGAAGAGAAGAGAAGAUGUUUAAAAAAAAAAAAAAAAAGUUAAAAUAUUGUACAUCCCAAAAUGCCUUACUUUUGACCAGAGACCUUUUUCUAUUUGGGACACAACCUUCAUGGGAGGCUUUCUUCCUGUUUCGUUCCCUAAUGUCAUUAUGUUAAUGAUCAGAAAGAAAAACAAACCACGACGGUCAGUGUCCCAGUACGUAUAUCUGCCAAUGGGAACGGUCAGUGUCCCAGUACGUAUAUCUGCCAAUGGGAACGGUCAGUGUCCCAGUACGUAUAUCUGCCAAUGGGAACGGUCAGUGUCCCAGUACGUAUAUCUGCCAA
Molecule: long non-coding RNA, 3025 nt
Filed under: Salmo salar (Atlantic salmon)
Lineage: Eukaryota; Metazoa; Chordata; Actinopteri; Salmoniformes; Salmonidae
Description: lncRNA (ENSSSAG00000106617.1)
Rfam family: mir-132 microRNA precursor family (bases 1855-1936)
Source: RNAcentral